This 1381-nucleotide long non-coding RNA is filed under the name Cyanistes caeruleus (blue tit). Its description in RNAcentral is "lncRNA (ENSCCEG00000003018.1)". The record is from RNAcentral. Lineage: Eukaryota; Metazoa; Chordata; Aves; Passeriformes; Paridae.
AGUAGUGUGUCCCUGCUGACACCACUGGAUGAGCAAUGAUUUUGUGGAAUCCAUUCCUGGGAAAUUUUUCUCUAACGUCCUCCAACAGGAAGGAACAAAGCUACUGGACACAAAAAACCCCAUGAGCCAUCCAAUACCAUGCAGCAAAUGCUGAAGGAAAUGCUGCAGGGAGCACAAGCUAAGCCCCUUGGUGAAGGUGAUCUAGCUUCCCUACUCACAUCCAGGACUGAGCCUCACGGAGAUGGCGAGGGUGUGUCUGCAGGGAGGAUUUUCCCAGACACUUUUCAGGAUGCUGCACACAAGCCUAGCUCCCAUCACAGGGGUCCUCCAACAGGAAGGAACAAAGCUACUGGAUACAAGAAACCUCGUGAACCAUCUAAUACCAUGCAGCAAAUGCUGAAGGAAAUGCAGCAGGGAGGACAAGAGAAGGACCAGAAAGCUGUGCUGAAGGCGGUGUUUCCCAGAGAAAACAGUGGCUCAUGGUCAGCGUCUGCUGCAGGAAGGGAGGCCAUGCCAGGCACAGUCUCAGAGGGUCCUCCUGCAUGGACGAACCAAGACAUAGAAGACGGGAAAUCCCUGGAGGCAUCCCGACUUCUGGACAAGAUGUUGAGUGAUCUGGAGACACACCGUGAUGAGGGUGCUGAGACAGCUUCUCCAGCAGCUGGGAUGGAAGAUGGCUUGGAACCAUUAGGAGGUUCUGCAGGUGUGUCUGCAGAGAGGACUUUCCCAGCUACUUUCCUGAUUCCUGAACGCAAGCUCGGCUCCCAUCGCAGGGGUCCUCCUAGAGGGAGGAACAAGCCUACAGAAGAUAUCAAGUCCCUGGAGACAUCGGAAUACAUGGAUGUGAGGCUGAGUGAUCGGGACAGACGUCAUGAGAUGGACCAGAAGUCUUUGCAGAAGGCAGAACUUCCUGCAGAAUGCAACAGCUUCAUUCCAGAUGCCUCUACAGAAAGGGAGGAGAUAGCAGACAGUGGCACAGAAGGAAUCGAUAUUAAGGAUUCAGCGCCCAUCUCUGGAAUUGUCCGCCCGCAGGAUGUUCGGAAAACCUGCGUCGUAGACUCAGUUGUGACAGUUAUCACUGUGCAACUUGCAUUUAUAUGCUGUUUUUUUGGGAUCCGGAAAGUCUACAAGAUCAGACGGUAAUUUGUUGAUUUUUUUCCAGAGUUUUCUUAAAACUCUACACACAGCACUGGGAGCCUGACACAUAGGCAUGCUGCUGUGCACUUGUUUGUAGUCAAUGGUAGUCCACAGAAUUCUGCUGAGAGUUCUGCUGCUGCCCAGGCCUUUCAUUGGCCUCUGAAUUGCUGGGCCUUGUCCUGAGGAGCCCACUUGUACUGCAGCCAAUGCUGGCUCCCACAGGGGCUGCCUGGCCAAGAGCAGC